CUUCUUUCUGGGGACUCCUAGCUCUUUCUCUCAUUUUUUCUCUCUAGGUAUUCCUUGAAAGACCUUUUGACCUUUACUUGAUCCUCGUGCACCUUUUGGAUGAGAGGGGCGUGAGGACAUGAGUGAGGUCAUCCCUCUACAAAAAAUAGCUGUUGUGCUGACCAUAGUGUUGGAUUUAUCUAUCAAAUUAACAAGGCCUUCCAAACAUCACAUGGCUAGUGUACAUAGGAACAACAUCACAAUAUACCUCAUUU
RNAcentral lists this long non-coding RNA (254 nucleotides) under Carica papaya (papaya). Its description in RNAcentral is "long non-coding RNA (CPAP_LNC002299)". Lineage: Eukaryota; Viridiplantae; Streptophyta; Magnoliopsida; Brassicales; Caricaceae. The record is from RNAcentral.